Molecule: long non-coding RNA, 1338 nt
Filed under: Olea europaea subsp. europaea
Lineage: Eukaryota; Viridiplantae; Streptophyta; Magnoliopsida; Lamiales; Oleaceae
Source: RNAcentral
AUAUUUUAUAUCUCAACUUGACCGUAAAUGUCAUAAUUCACAGCAUCUUGCCGAAACCUUGCUCAUAUAUAUUUGAUAAGCAGAACUAUUCCCAUAUAAUAUCAAUUUCUUCUUCUUCUUCUUCUUCUUUAAUACUGAGACAGGUUCAAUGAAAACCGCAAAACCUCAUGCAGUUUUAGUUCCAUAUCCAUCACAAGGCCAUGUCACCCCUAUGAUGAGACUUGCAAAGCUUUUGCAUUCAAGAGGUUUUUAUAUCACUUUUGUGAACACAGAAUAUAAUCACAGACGUUUGAUCCGAUCAAAAGGCCCUGAUUCUGUGAAGGGGUUGCCUGAUUUCAAGUUUGAGACGAUACCAGAUGGAAUGCCUCCAUCAGAUGAAGAUGCAACCCAAGAUGUUCCACUCCUCUGUGACAAUACAAGGAAAACAUGUUUGUUGCCUUUCAAAGCCCUCUUGUCCAGGCUUAAUUCAUCACCUAACGCGCCUCGGGUUACAUGCGUUAUUUCAGAUGGAGUGAUGAGCUUUGCAAUUAGGGCUGCUGAAGAUAUGGGGAUUCCUGAGGUUCAGUUCUGGACUGCUUCUGCUUGCUCCUUUAUAGGAUACUUGCAUUACCGAGAACUCAUCAAAAGAGGCAUUUUCCCUUUAAAAAGUAAGUGAUGUCUUAUAUUAUGUUUGCCAUGUUGAACCACUUCGCCUGAAAAGUUUAAACUAUUAGUUAGAAAAUACUCUUAUGGUAAGUUGUGUAAGGUGGAUUUGACGGUACUUUAUCAAAACCUUUUGAGUAUAUCGUGCACUAUAAUGUAUAAAGCAUACUAGUGUAUAUUUGGCAUAUAGUAUUACAGUAUUACAUUGUUAGUAUAUGAAAUUUUUUAACUCUCUUUUCCUUAGUUCAUAUUGUUUAUAGUGUCCAAUCCACCUUACAAGACAUACAAUUAGGAUUUGAGGUUGUAGAAUAUUUUUAUGGAAAACCAAUCCAUGGACGAUUUUCAUAAAUCGUUGGCAAACGAGACUUGAAUCCAGACAUUUGCUGACUCUAAUAAUAUGCUAAACAUUUAAAGACAAUAUAACAUGAAUUAUAUGGAGUACAAAUUACAAUAUUUUCUUGUAUAUUAGUUGUCUUUUGAUUUGCCUGUAAUGGAGUUCUGUUGCCAUUUCAUUCCAGAUGAUGACUACCUGACUGAUGGCACUCUUGACACCCCAAUUGAUUGGAUGACCGGUCUGAACAAUAUUUGCCUUAAGGACGUUCCUAGUUUUAUCCGAACGACUGAUCCCAACGACAUCAUGUUCGAUUUCAUGGGAGAAGAAGCACAGAAUUGUCUGAAAGCUCCUGCCGUAAUUUU